UACAGAGGUCCCAAGCGUUGUUCGGAUUCACUGGGCGUAAAGGGUGCGUAGGCGGUCGGGUAAGUCUGAUGUGAAAUCUCCAAGCUUAACUUGGAAAUGGCAUCGGAUACUAUUCGGCUCGAGAAUGGAGGGGAGACUGGAAUACUUGGUGUAGCAGUGAAAUGCGUAGAUAUCAAGUGGAACACCAGUGGCGAAGGCGAGUCUCUGGACAUUUCCUGACGCUGAGGCACGAAAGCCAGGGGAGCAAACGGG
This 252-nucleotide ribosomal RNA is filed under the name uncultured bacterium. Its description in RNAcentral is "partial 16S ribosomal RNA". It matches the Rfam family "Bacterial small subunit ribosomal RNA", at positions 524 to 776 of the family's 1533-position model. The record is from RNAcentral.